RNAcentral lists this ribosomal RNA (981 nucleotides) under Triticum aestivum (bread wheat). RNAcentral's name for it is "partial small subunit ribosomal RNA". The record is from RNAcentral. Lineage: Eukaryota; Viridiplantae; Streptophyta; Magnoliopsida; Poales; Poaceae.
AUGUCUGGCAGAGCAUUACUCGCCGACAUCAAGGUUCCCACGAUGACGCGGAAGGUGAUGGAGGUCACGGUGCGGCCCGAGAAGAAGAAGCCCCAGCGAGGAGGUGGCGGGGGCCAUCGCUUCACGCGGCACGGCGGGCGCAGGGGACUCAGCCUGGACUAUGAUGAGGAGGACUUUGAGGCCGAUUUCAAGAAGUUCUUGGCCGACUCCAGGGACUAUGACUUCGAGCUCGGGUGUGGUGGGGUGGCCGAGAAGGAUGAUGACUAUGAGGAAGUCGAGAUCAAGCCCUUUGCCGCCAUCAAGAGGUCCCUCUCCGAAGAUGACUUAAGCACCAUGCCUACUGCUGGUUUUGAUGGUCCUGGAGAAAGGUCAGCAAAAAGGAAGAGAAAGAACCAACUCAAGGGUAUUCAUCAGUGCCCCUUGGGUAAGUGGGCUGCUGAAAUCAAAGAUCCUAGCAAGGGUGUCUGUGUCUGGCUCGGUACUUUCAACAGUGCUAAAGAAGCCGCAAGAGCUUAUGAUGCCGAAGCACGCCGAAUCUAUGGUAAGAAGGCCAAGGUUAACUUUCCAGAGGAACCAACAGGAUAUGUCGACUUUGCAUCAAUCCAGCCACUUGUUCCUGCAAUAAACUUUGCCGCCCCUGUUGAAGCUCCUAUUAUGGAUAUGUACUCUGACCAGGGAAGCAACUCUUUUGGCUGCUCUGACUUGGGCUGGGAGUAUGAGACCAAGAGUCUAGAUAUAUCAUCCAUUUGUACCAUUGCCGAAGGAGCAGAAUCUGCGCUUGUCGAGAAUAACACCUACAACUCACUGGUGCCUCCUGUUAUGGAGAAUAAUGCUGCCAGUUCUGAAUCUUGGAUGAGAUAUCUUAUGGAUGAUGAUGUGGAUGAGCUGAUUGAUGGCCUAGUGAAUUUUUAUGAUCAUCAGGAUGUCGUUGGCAACAUGGACCUUUGGAGGUUCGAUGACAUGCCCGUCUUUGGAGACUUU